This 425-nucleotide ribosomal RNA is filed under the name uncultured bacterium. Its description in RNAcentral is "partial 16S ribosomal RNA". It matches the Rfam family "Bacterial small subunit ribosomal RNA", at positions 354 to 796 of the family's 1533-position model. The record is from RNAcentral.
GUAGGGAAUCUUGCGCAAUGGGCGAAAGCCUGACGCAGCCAUGUCGCGUGAAUGAUGAAGGUCUUAGGAUUGUAAAAUUCUUUCACCGGGGACGAUAAUGACGGUACCCGGAGAAGAAGCCCCGGCUAACUUCGUGCCAGCAGCCGCGGUAAUACGAAGGGGGCUAGCGUUGCUCGGAAUUACUGGGCGUAAAGGGAGCGUAGGCGGAUAGUUUAGUCAGAGGUGAAAGCCCAGGGCUCAACCUUGGAAUUGCCUUUGAUACUGGCUAUCUUGAGUAUGGAAGAGGUAUGUGGAACUCCGAGUGUAGAGGUGAAAUUCGUAGAUAUUCGGAAGAACACCAGUGGCGAAGGCGACAUACUGGUCCAUUACUGACGCUGAGGCUCGAAAGCGUGGGGAGCAAACAGGAUUAGAAACCCUUGUAGUCC